UACUCGAGUGGCGAACGGGUGAGUAACACGUGGGUGAUCUGCCCUGCACUUCGGGAUAAGCCUGGGAAACUGGGUCUAAUACCGGAUAGGAGCCAUUCUUAGUGUGAUGGUUGGAAAGUUUUUUCGGUGUAGGAUGAGCUCGCGGCCUAUCAGCUUGUUGGUGGGGUAAUGGCCUACCAAGGCGGCGACGGGUAGCCGGCCUGAGAGGGUGGACGGCCACAUUGGGACUGAGAUACGGCCCAG
This 243-nucleotide ribosomal RNA is filed under the name uncultured Actinomycetales bacterium. RNAcentral describes it as "partial 16S ribosomal RNA". It matches the Rfam family "Bacterial small subunit ribosomal RNA", at positions 88 to 334 of the family's 1533-position model. The record is from RNAcentral. Lineage: Bacteria; Bacillati; Actinomycetota; Actinomycetes; Actinomycetales.